CCGCUUCUUUCUUUGACAGAAUCUCCUCAGGAAACUCAGGCUGACCUCAGAUCUGUGAUGUGUGUGUGUGAAUGUCUCCAGUAUUAGAGAUCCAGGCAUGUGCCAUAACACCCAGCUUCUUCGUUUUGUGUUAUGAUGUCCUAAGCCAGGUAACUCCUGGGAGGUGUAUUAAGAAGCGCCCUAUUCCUGGCACAAGGCAUUAGACCAGCCAUCAUGCAGGCCAGCAUCUCUAGCUAGCCAUACCUCCUGGUUUCUGGUGACCAGCCUGCUACAGACAUUGCUUUAUUACAAACUGCCCAAAACAUAAUGGCCUCAACAAAAUGACAUCAUCGCUGUUUAUGAUUCUGUGGUGAGUGGGCCUAUACGGAAGUGUCUCUCUGGGAAUUUACAGACAAUGGAUCUGAAGCCUCAGCUAUGCUGAAUGUUGGAUCAGUUUUGGGGACUGAGCCCCCAGCCUGUGGAAUCUGAUGCUAUCUACAGGCAAAACAACUGAGUUAGAAGACACCCAACUGGUCCUUUGGAGAACUGACUUAUCGGAAAAGGAAACCAGCGUCCCACACACUUCCUGGUGCUCAAGGUGUCUGAAGAGCUGCUCCUUCCCAUCUGAGGCUGUCACCAUGUUUGGAGAGAGUUGCCUUCAUUCAGGCUGUGGAGCCGAGCUCUAACUGGGGGUGUAGGGACCCCUUUGCUCCUAGUGUUACAGCCCUGGGCUCCGAUGUCGGUGGCUCGGCCCCCAGCAGUCAGUGCUGAAGCUCCAGCUUGGUUAGGGCACCUGGCCCUCGGCCCUGCUCUUCCAGCUCUGGGCAGCUUCUUAGCUGCUGUCAGGACCCAUGAAUGUUCCCGGGGCGAGGCUCGCCGCUGGCCCUCAGUAGUCCCUCCUCUUCAGUCUCGGCCCUUUACGGCUUUCUAUCUUCUGAAGUCUCUACUCACCGCCAUCACUUCGCCCACAGCUCCUUCAGAGCAUCAGGAUCUCGAGUCUGUGCUCACAGCUGUUCACGACUCUUGUCCCCUCUAUGGGCGGCUUGUGCGUCUGGGACCAGCAGCCCCUGGAAUCGUCUGUUCUUCACGCAACGAGUCUGGCCUGCUCUACCUGUGAUAAAAAGACAAAAGGUGGCUAGAUAAAGCUCUACCUGUAAUUAAAAAAAAAUAGGCAGUUUAUAGGAGGAGGGCUCCCAGAAUGCUAGAGGAGCACCCUUCACUCAGCCAGCCUCUGCCCUCGCUGUCGUGGGGACAUCUUCCUCACUCAGUUGAGGAUGUCAUCACGAAGGUCGGAGCACCCGUGGCAGGGAUAUCUGAAGAUGUAGUGGACCUCGUCCUCUGAGGGUCGGCGUCUGAAGUCGUCACGGCCUAGGCCGAGGCUCCCAGACACCUGAGGCUUAGGGUGGUGGUCAAGACAGCUGUGUUAGUCCCCCUCAACGGAAGGAAGUUUCUCUGGGCUACCAGCAAGUGGCUGAUGUCUUCUAGCAGAGUCAUGGGCCGGAUUCAAAUCUUCUUCAGGUAGCUACAAGGGUUUAAAACUGACUGCCCUGGUAACGGCUGGAUAAAUAACUGAGGCGACUUGAUUGACAGCUCCCGCAGCCUCCGUGGAAAUGGCUGCGGGCCCUUCAGCAGCAGCGGUGAUAUUGCUCACAGUGUCAGGGGACUCAGGAACUGUGGAGACGACAGCUGUGAGCCCUGAUCCAGCCUUCAUCUCUGCAGGUCGGGGACAGGUGCUUGGUUUGGCCUUGGUAACCAACUGUUGCUUCAGCUAGGCAUUGGGAAAGGUCCGACAGCUGUCAAUCAAGUCUCCCACUUACCCCAUCAGAGAGAUCCCAUCUUUUGAAAGGGAAAGUGUGUAAGGGGUGCUUGUGAAGACUUGACACACGGGUUUACAUACUUUUUCUUCAGCAAUUUUUUUUCCCUGAUUAUUUGUGACCUUCGGCCAACUAGCCUUAGGGAGGGGCAUGGGCUCUUGGUCUGUGUCCUCACUCACCACUGAUGCUGAAAACGCUCACGCCCCUUUCUUCUAGCUGUUUGGAAUAUGUAAUGCGUUGUUAUUGUCUAAGCCACCCUACCAUGUAAGCACGCCAGAGCGCCUCACUGCCCUCUAACUGGAACUCAGUGCCCCAGGAUCUGCCGGCCGCCUCGCCCCUCACCGGUGUUUUGUAACUGAGUCAUAUCGGGAACACUGACGACGAGGAAGAGAACUUUAAGGUGCUGACUUCCUAGAAGCCAGCAGACUUGGUACUCAUUUCCAAACUCGCUUUUGAACGAGGCUGGUCUUCCCUUCCGCUCUGGUUUGCUUCUUUUCUUAGAAUUGUAUUUGAACAAGAAGACAAAGCAAAUUUAAAAACAGGCAUUUCCUCUGUCCUCUGCUCACUUAGGCCUGCCCCCCCCCACCUCUGCCUCCCCCCAAACGUCAGCAGGAUCAUUUAAAGUAAAAGGUUUUUGACAACUGGAAUAGACACUGUGAGAGUCUGGGGCCUCAGCCUAGCGAGCCCCAGGCAAACAAGGACAGAAAGAAUGGCACCCAGAGUCCAUCUCUGACUCAAUUAGGGAGAAUCAAUCUUGUCACUGAGUUUCCAAGGAAAUUCAAUUACAGGUCAAGUGUGGGAAGCUGGCUAACUGGGGCUUAAGCAGCGGACAUGGCAGGCGGUCGAUAGCUGCCUGGGGAUGAGUUUGACUUCAAAGCCCCCGAAUCUGCCGUGAGAAAAGGCAGAUGUGGUCGCAGGAAGCCAAGGCUGGCUGACCACCCAGAGCCAAAGCCAAGGGUCCAGACCGGGAACUGUGAAGGCCCCCACUGCCCUUAGUAGCUUAGUUACCGGUUAUGAUGGGUGACUGACUCACAGGGGCUCGUGGGAAAGACCACCAGGGCCCGGGAGGGACCUCCAGCACCAGUGUGUGCAGUCUGUAUGGGCAGAAACCAUACUAGACACACACAGCGCGCUGGAGGAGAAGUCUUCACUCUUCUAAGGGAAAGGGUCGGGAGAUGUUUUUCUCUGUGAGAUGUUUUUCUCUGUGAGGUUCGGAGUCGUUCGCCCCCUAGUGGUCGCACAGAUGUUGGCAAGGCAUGUUUACUGUGAGGACCCCCAAACCCAGAGCUGGACAGCGUACCCUGAUGGUGAGUUUGGAGAAGCCAACAGCCUCGCAUUCCACCCCCACCCCCAGCCCCCGACAGCACAAGGACACACUGUAAGGCUGUGCGUGUCCAUGCAGAAAUGACAGAGAACAUUCACCGAGACCGUCACCACCGCAGUGUGGAAGUAACCCAAAUGCCCGAUGCUGGGAGACCGCUUAUGUAGAGAUGGUCUGCAGAGCAGAAUGGAGUCGAACUUGUCCUAUGGGAAAGGAAAACAUUAAGGAAGUGCCAAGGCAGAGGGCAUUUCCGGAAACCCCUCCACCCGGGCUGGAAGCACGGAACUCGGCAGUAUCUGGGAAGUGACCUUCGCGCAAUCGGCUAACUGCAUUUGUUUGUUUGGUGAGUGGUUAGGGUAGGCCCUCGGCAUCUCACGUGCUAAGCAGUGCCCUGCCCCUGACACACACCAGCCCACAGUCCUGUAUUUAAAUUUUUAAAAAUUUUGUAUGUGUUCUUUGUAUGUGUAUCUGUGCACCACACAUGUGCUUGGUGCCCAGGGAGACCGGAAGAUGACAUCAGAUCCCCUGGGACUACGGUUACAGAUGGUUGUGAGUCUCCAUGUGGUGUCCGUAGCAGAACCCUGGUCCUCUGGAAGAACAGCCAUCGUAACCAUUCAGCCAUCUUUCCAGUCCAGCGCUGUGGUUAUUGGAAUCAUUUCUUUUUCACACAGUUCCAGAGAGUAAGACAGGAAAGGAGAAUCCACGAAUCCACUUACCUGAGGACUCACGGUAUACAGUGUGAAAACAACCCCUGAAACCAGAGUCGGGCUUCCUCACGAGGGGAAAGCUGACCUCUUUCUGGAUGGGGUAACGGGCAAUCAGAGCCGCGGCUUCGCUAGACAGCUGACCACCCCAAGGCUACAAGGAAACUGACUCUGAACUGGAUCUGGCUCCAUUUCAGUCCUUCAGUACUGGUAUGGACAGAGGAUAGCCUUUAUUAGAUGGCUGUACACCAAGGUCAUGGGACACAGGAUCAGCUCUCAGUCUAGUCAGACGGAGAAGAUUCAUGGAGCCAGAGGGGACAGACAGUUCAUCUACUCAGGUGGAAGGCAAGAGAAACAGACUGGCUACAUGAUGGAGGAGUCCACAGUUUACACAAUUUUAACUACUUUUUGAGGAUACAUUGUUUGUUUCAAAAGCCCACCCUCACCAGGCAUGAUAGUGCAAGUCUUUAAUCCCAGCUCUAGGGAGACAGAGGCAGGUGGAUCUCUGUGAGUUCCAGGACAGCCAGAGCUAUGUAGAUAUUAUCUCAACAACACCUCCCCUCCCCGGGGGAAACAAAACAAAACAAAACCCAUGCUCAUUGACCUCCUUCUGCCUGCUGACCUACCUCCUAAAAUUCCUCUACAGCCUUUCAAAACAUCACCCCCACGGAGUAAACAAUGCUCCAGAGGGUGAGCCUGAAGAGGCUUUCAGAUCCAAACUCUACAGACUUUAAAAAUUAACUCGGUAGUUAAGCAAGUGACAUUAAUUCACCCAAACAUGGGGUGUGGAAAGAUAAAAGAUGAAGCGGCUGAUAAACCACCA
Molecule: non-coding RNA, 4641 nt
Organism: Peromyscus maniculatus bairdii (prairie deer mouse)
Lineage: Eukaryota; Metazoa; Chordata; Mammalia; Rodentia; Cricetidae
Source: RefSeq, a predicted model, not a curated record